RNAcentral lists this ribosomal RNA (881 nucleotides) under Stutzerimonas xanthomarina. RNAcentral's name for it is "bacterial SSU rRNA". It matches the Rfam family "Bacterial small subunit ribosomal RNA", at positions 59 to 947 of the family's 1533-position model. The record is from RNAcentral. Lineage: Bacteria; Pseudomonadati; Pseudomonadota; Gammaproteobacteria; Pseudomonadales; Pseudomonadaceae.
GAUCCUGGCUCAGUCGGUAUCAGGGAGCUUGCUCCCUGAUUCAGCGGCGGACGGGUGAGUAAUGCCUAGGAAUCUGCCUGGUAGUGGGGGACAACGUUUCGAAAGGAACGCUAUACCGCAAACUUCCUACGGGAGAAAGCAGGGGACCUUCGGGCCUUGCGCUAUCAGAUGAGCCUAGGUCGGAUUAGCUAGUUGGUGAGGUAAUGGCUCACCAAGGCGACGAUCCGUAACUGGUCUGAGAGGAUGAUCAGUCACACUGGAACUGAGACACGGUCCAGACUCCUACGGGAGGCAGCAGUGGGGAAUAUUGGACAAUGGGCGAAAGCCUGAUCCAGCCAUGCCGCGUGUGUGAAGAAGGUCUUCGGAUUGUAAAGCACUUUAAGUUGGGAGGAAGGGCAGUAAGCUAAUACCUUGCUGUUUUGACGUUACCGACAGAAUAAGCACCGGCCAACUUCGUGCCAGCGGCCGCGGUAAUACCAAGGGUGCAAGCGUUAAUCGGAAUUACAGGGCGUAAAGCGCGCGUACGUUGUUUGUUAAGUUGGAUGUGAAAGCCCCGGGCUCAACCUGGGAACUGCAUCCAAACUGGCAAGCUUGAGUAUGGCAGAUGGUGGUGGAAUUUCCUGUGUAGCGUGAAAUGCGUAGAUUAGGAGGAACACCAGUGGCGAAAGCUACCACCUAGGCUAAUACUGACCUGAGGUGCGAAGGCGUGGGAGCAGACAGGAUUAGAUACCCUGGUGUCCACGCCCUAACGAUUCCACUAGCCAUUGGGAUCCUUGAGAUCUAUGGCGCACUCACGCAGUAAGUCACCGCCGGGGAGUACGGCCGCAGGGUAAACUCAAUGAAUUGACUGCGGCCCGCACAGCUGGUGGAGCAGUUGCUUU